Hemicordylus capensis (graceful crag lizard) is the source of this 741-nucleotide long non-coding RNA. RefSeq lists it as uncharacterized. The record is from RefSeq and is a predicted model, not a curated record. The transcript is spliced from 5 exons. Lineage: Eukaryota; Metazoa; Chordata; Lepidosauria; Squamata; Cordylidae.
CAGAGCCACCAGAGUUCGGGCAGCCGGAGAUGCAUGUGGACGGAGGGGGUGGGUUGUACAGGGAGAUGGGAACGUUUACUUGCUCGGCGCUAUUGGUGACGAUUCCUUGGUGGAGGCGGAAGGCCUGCUCCUGCGGAUACUUUUGCGAGUGGUUGUUUCUGAGAAGGCACCACUGGAUCUGCGGUGAAGAAAGAUUAUUAUGCAUUGAAUUCGCAUCACUUCUCGGUGCCAGCAGAGGAGCAGAGGGAGACAACGUAAGAAAAAUACCAUCACCACCAUUUUUCUUGAGCAUCGAGAAGAUUGACCAGCAGCAAGGCCUCUCAGAAGGAGGUGCUGAGGUGGAGAUACGAGCAAGAGAGAAGCCAGUCCCUUACCGGUUGGAGAAGGUGUUUCGUGCAAGGUUGAGGACCAGCUCCUCCAGGUGAUGAGACUUGCUAACCGUGUGCAGGACCUGCUCAGCGACUUCAGAGCCCUGAGAAAAGAAGGAACAGAAGGAUGGGAGGGAAACGGAGGCCAGACGGAGGCAGAAAGAUAAAUGUGAGGGACAGGCAACUUUCAGCACUCCAGAUAUUGCUGGACUGCAACUCCCAGUAUCCCCAGCCAUCAUGAAUUGUGGACGGAAGUGCUGGGUUUGUGCGCCUCCCUGGUUGUUGUUGAAGGCUAGUGCCUGUUUUUUGUGUGUAGUUCUGCCUCUCUCAUAUAUGUUUUAGUUUCUUAAUAAAGCUUUGUUUGUUUUUUGAA